Molecule: ribosomal RNA, 257 nt
Filed under: uncultured bacterium
Lineage: Bacteria
Description: partial 16S ribosomal RNA
Rfam family: Bacterial small subunit ribosomal RNA
Source: RNAcentral
UACGUAGGUGGCAAGCGUUGUCCGGAGUUAUUGGGCGUAAAGCGCGCGCAGGCGGUGCGGUAAGUCUCUGGUGAAAGCGCUCGGCUUAACUGGGCGAGGGCCGGGGGAGACUGCCACGCUGGAGGGGAGCAGAGGCGAGUGGGAAUUCCGAGUGUAGUGGUGAAAUGCGUAGAGAUCCGGGAGGAACACCAGUGGCGAAGGCGGCUCGCUGGGCUCUACCUGACGCUGAGGCGCGAAAAGCGUGGGGAGCGAACCGG